AGGCAGCAGUGGGGAAUAUUGCACAAUGGGCGCAAGCCUGAUGCAGCCAUGCCGCGUGUAUGAAGAAGGCCUUCGGGUUGUAAAGUACUUUCAGCGGGGAGGAAGGCGAUACGGUUAAUAACCGUGUCGAUUGACGUUACCCCGCAGAAA
RNAcentral lists this ribosomal RNA (150 nucleotides) under uncultured Enterobacter sp. RNAcentral describes it as "partial 16S ribosomal RNA". It matches the Rfam family "Bacterial small subunit ribosomal RNA", at positions 346 to 487 of the family's 1533-position model. Lineage: Bacteria; Pseudomonadati; Pseudomonadota; Gammaproteobacteria; Enterobacterales; Enterobacteriaceae. The record is from RNAcentral.